RNAcentral lists this ribosomal RNA (449 nucleotides) under uncultured bacterium. RNAcentral's name for it is "partial 16S ribosomal RNA". It matches the Rfam family "Bacterial small subunit ribosomal RNA", at positions 28 to 523 of the family's 1533-position model. The record is from RNAcentral.
GACGAACGCUGGCGGCAGGCUUAACACAUGCAAGUCGAGCGCCGUAGCAAUACGGAGCGGCAGACGGGGGAGUAACGCGUGGGAACGUGCCUUUUGGUUCGGAACAACUCAGGGAAACUUGAGCUAAUACCGGAUAAGCCCCGAGGGGGAAAGAUUUAUAGCCAAAAGAUCGGCCCGCGUCAGAUGAGGUAGUUGGAGGGGUAACGGCCCACCAAGCCGAUGAUCUGUAGCUGGUCUGAGAGGACGAUCAGCCACACUGGGACUGAGACACGGCCCAGACUCCUACGGGAGGCAGCAGUGGGGAAUAUUGGACAAUGGGCGCAAGCCUGAUCCAGCCAUGCCGCGUGGAUGAAGAAGGCCCUAGGGUUGUAAAGUCCUUUCGGCGGGGACGAUAAUGACGGUACCCGCAGAAGAAGCCCCGGCUAAUUUCGUGCCAGCCGCCGCAGUAA